CAACAAAAGCACAUGCAGGCUGCAUUCCUUGGAUUCCUGUACAGAAGCGUGCAUCACCUUCCCACCUCUCCCAUAAAUGAAGUGUGGUGGCAGAGUGUUUAAAGUAAGACCCAGAGGGCCUAAGUUGGAGGUUCCAGGCAGCUGAGGACUCCAGCUGAAGCUCUGGAGAUGACCUGGUGGCAUGUAGGUGUCUGGUUGUUUGGACUGGGAGUCAAAGGGAUGGGGAGGGGUGUGGGCUGAGCAUGUCAUAAAUCGUGCCAGCCUUAGGAGGACCCUUGAUCUUUAACACACAGAUCCUCUCUGGCUG
Molecule: long non-coding RNA, 307 nt
Filed under: Anas platyrhynchos platyrhynchos (common mallard)
Lineage: Eukaryota; Metazoa; Chordata; Aves; Anseriformes; Anatidae
Description: lncRNA (ENSAPLG00000026298.1)
Source: RNAcentral